Molecule: long non-coding RNA, 964 nt
Organism: Mugil cephalus (flathead mullet)
Lineage: Eukaryota; Metazoa; Chordata; Actinopteri; Mugiliformes; Mugilidae
Exons: 4
Source: RefSeq, a predicted model, not a curated record
CAGCAGUGUGAAAUCACACUUUCAUUGUGUGUUCUCACUUCGGUGUGCGGGAACGUGCUUACUAGAGUGUGUGCGUGCGCGUGUGCGUGCGCACAGUUGAAGAACAAAAAAGGAAAGCUAGGCUUUCUUUGGAUAAACAAUCUGAGGCAGCAUCUCUUAUGCUAAUGUCUUAGCCUGCCCAUUCCUCAUUGCAUUUACAUUCUCUGUCCUCACGCACCUGAUGCAACAGACAGCACAGCUCCGCCAGCAGAAAGCCGAAUUACAGAGAGCUCCGCCCCGCCGACACACAACGCGUUGCCCACCAGCUCUUUAACCGAGCCUCCAGCCAUACCCAGGGGACGGCCUACCACACUUUCUGUUACAAUCAAGCCUCCUCCUUCGCCGUCCUCUUCGCAAGAGAAGCAGAGAGUUUACCCGACACCAGAAAAGGUCGCGCCUUCGGAAAACAUCCCCGAACACUCACAUCUGUCUCAUCUAGUCCCGAAGGAGUCCACACAUCACUCUGUUGUCGACCAUCACCACCACCACCACCACCACGCAGUGACAGAGGAGUCUGCUCUCCAUCCACUGACUCAAUUUAACCAUCAUACAAACAUGCCUGAAACUGGAGAAAAACACUCAGAGCUAAAGCAUAGUGAGAGAGGAGUCACUGGAGGACAUGCACAAGAGACUCACGGCCACAUUACUACACCUUUAUCAGGACAUGGGGAGGAGAAAGAACCUAAAGUUACAGACCCCCAUACAUCGGCGGGACACGUACAUGAGACUCAUGGCCAUAAAACGGUGGAACAUGAAGAAAGAAAAGUUUCCCACAUGGUUGAGCGACACGCACAGGAGCCGCAAGGCCACAAAACAACAACCUCAUUGGAACAUGGAGUAAAAAGGCAAGAGGAUGCACAUUCAGAAAGGAAAUCUGAAAGAACAGGUACAAGUGUUUGUAGCGGUAGAAGGUAGUCCUGCUAGA